RNAcentral lists this transfer RNA (77 nucleotides) under Myxococcales bacterium. RNAcentral describes it as "tRNA-Pro". It matches the Rfam family "tRNA". From Rfam's summary of the family: Transfer RNA (tRNA) molecules are approximately 80 nucleotides in length. Lineage: Bacteria; Pseudomonadati; Myxococcota; Myxococcia; Myxococcales. The record is from RNAcentral.
CGGAGCGUGGCGCAGCCUGGUAGCGCACCUGCUUUGGGAGCAGGGGGUCAAGAGUUCGAAUCUCUUCGCUCCGACCA